AAGGGGCAGGGACGGGUGGCCC
This 22-nucleotide microRNA is filed under the name Homo sapiens (human). RNAcentral describes it as "hsa-miR-6743-5p". The record is from miRBase by way of RNAcentral. Lineage: Eukaryota; Metazoa; Chordata; Mammalia; Primates; Hominidae.